Molecule: ribosomal RNA, 461 nt
Filed under: uncultured bacterium
Lineage: Bacteria
Description: partial 16S ribosomal RNA
Rfam family: Bacterial small subunit ribosomal RNA
Source: RNAcentral
CUACGGGGUGCACCAGUAAGGAAUAUUGCGCAAUGGAGGCAACUCUGACGCAGCCAUGCCGCGUGCAGGAAGAAGGCCUUAUGGGUCGUAAACUGCUUUUAUUUAGGAAUAAACCCCCGAACGUGUUCGGGGCUGAAGGUACUAAACGAAUAAGCACCGGCUAACGUGCGUGCCAGCAGCCGCGGUAAUACGGAGUGGUGCAAGCGUUAUCCGGAUUUAUUGGGUUUAAAGGGUGCGCAGGCGGGCUAUUAAGUCAGUGGUGAAAUCCCGGGGCUCAACUCCGGAACUGCCAUUGAUACUGAUAGUCUUGAGUUUGGUUGAAGUGGGCGGAAUGUAGCAUGUAGCGGUGAAAUGCAUAGAUAUGCUACAGAACACCAAUCGCGAAGGCAGCUCACUAAGCCAAAACUGACGCUCAUGCACGAAAGCGUGGGGAUCAAACAGGAUUAGAUACCCGGGUAGUC